UUAAGCAUAUCAGUAAGCAGAGGAAAAGAAAACAACUGUGAUUCCCUUAGUAACUGCGAGUGAAGCGGGAAAAGCCCAUCGUUUAAUCUUCCCGGACCAUGGACGGGACGAAAUGUAACGGUAUGGAUAGGUUCUCUACCAACUAUGUCUGAUCAAAGUCCUCCGGAUUGAGGUGCCAAAGAGGGUGACAGCCCCGUGUGUGAUUGGAUGGCGUUGGGUAUGUGACCGAUUCCGAGAGUCGGGUUGUUUGGGACUGCAACCUAAAGCAGGUGGUAAACUCCACCCAAGGCUAAAUAUUGACACGAAACCGAUAGCGAACAAGUACUGUGAAGGAAAGUUGAAAAGAACUCUGAAAAGAGAGUUAAAAGUACGUGAAACCGCUAACGGGGAAGCGGAAGGCAGUGUCGAGAUUGAGUGAGUGAGUUGGUUCAAGUGCGUUUGGUGUGUCGUGUUGGCGGUGUGUAAUGUGCGCUUGGAUCGGCUAGCUUUGCUUGAUGCGUCAGGACUAUUGGUGUGCGACGGUUCAAUCGUCAGCAUGGCUGUCACGGAACACUCAAAUGUUUCGUGGUUGCGGCUGGUGAUCCGCCUCGUGUGCUGAUAUGUAUGUGAUGGAGCGUUGGUGAUGUAUGGUCGGUUGGUGCUGUGCGGCGUUUCGUGCUGGUCACAUUGUGGCUACGUGCGGAAAAGUCGUGUGGUAGUUCAACAACCAGUGCUAGCUCCUGACGUGAUACCUAACUUUCCGACCCGUCUUGAAACACGGACCAAGGAGGCAGAAUCUAGAGCGAGUUGGAGGGUGCAAAACCCGACGGCGCAGUGAAAGCGAGAGAUGAGAUCCGGGGGUCUCGGCCCUCGGAGCAUCAUCGGCCAGUCACUCUGUGAUUGAGUUUGAGCUGUAGAUGCUGGACCCGAAAGAUGGUGAACUAUGCGUGAGCAGGGCGAAGCCAGAGGAAACUCUGGUGGAGGCUCGAAGCGAUUCUGACGUGCAAAUCGAUCGUUUGACUUGCGUAUAGGGGCGAUAGACUAAUCGAACCAUCUAGUAGCUGGUUCCCUUCGAAAUAUCCCUCAGGAUCGCUGAGACAAGUGGGAGACAGUUUCAUCGGGUAGAGCGAAUGAUUAGAGGAAUCGGGGAUAUAUUACUCUCGACCUAUUCUCAAACUUCCAACCGGUGAGAGUGCUGUUUACUUGAUUGAAACGGGCACGCGGAAUGUCUUUGUCUCAAGUGGGCCAUUUUUGGUAAGCAGAACUGGCGAUGCGGGAUGAACCGAGAGUUGAGCUAAGGUGCCUAACGACACGUUGAUAGAUACCACAAAAGGAGUCGGUCGAUAAAGACAGCAGGGCGGUGGCCCUGAAAGUAGGAAUCCGCUAAGGAAUUGUCUAAAAACUCACCUGCCGAAUCGACCGGCCCUGAAAAUGGAUGGCGCUGAAGCGUGUGACCGAUGCUCGACCUCUACCACGAGAGAUGUUGGUAGGGGGUAGAAGGGCGCGGCGGUAGCGACAAAGUACAAAGUGUAAACUUGUAUGGAGCUGCCGUCGGUGUAGAUCUUGGUGGUAGUAGCAAUUAUAAAAGUGAAAACCUUUUAGGCCGAAGUGGAGAAGGGUUCCACGUGAACAGCAGUUGGACGUGGGUUAGUCGGUCCUAAGCGGUUGCCUAACGGCUAGUGAAAAGCCAACUUAUGGUCGCACUUGUGUGGCUAAAUAUAAUAGGUUGGAAUCCGCGAAAGGGAAUCAGGUUAAUAUUCCUGAACCGGGCUAUGGAGACGCUGCCUUGUGCGUUAUUGCCAAUUCGUUGGUGGUGGCGUUGGGGUAGCUUAGCGGUAACGCAAACAAUCUCGGAGACGUUGACAUCUAUGGCGGGGAGAAUUAUCUUUUCUGCAUAACAGGUAAAUCACCUUGGAAUCGAGUCAUUCGGAGAUAAGGUAAAAAGCCUGGAAGAGCACCGCAACUAUUGCAGUGUCCGCAGUGUAGGUGUCGGCCCUUGAAAAUCCGAGGGAGUGGAUAAAUUUCAUGCCCGUCCGUACCGAAUCCGCAUCAGGUCUCCUAGGUGAGCAGCCUCUGGCACUGGAACAAUGUAGGUAAGGGAAGUCGGCAAAAUAGAUCCGUAACUUUGGGAAAAGGAUUGGCUCUAAGGGCCGGGCCAAUCGAGCUAGUAUUGCCUAGGCUAGUGGGGGCUUGACUGGGUUUGCUCGGGGGCAACUCUGAGUAGGCUUGGUCUUGCAAACGCUGGCCAUGGAAUGCCGGCGUGAAUUUCGGUCGGCUGAGCGGCCGCAAGGUUUGUUCAGUUGAUGGGGUUCUUUACGAGUGGCAAGCAUCGGUCAGCUUAGAACUGUUACCAACUUGGGGAAUCCGACUGUUUAAUUAAAACAAAGCAUUGCGAUGGCCGGAAACGGUGUUGACGCAAUGUGAUUU
This 2406-nucleotide ribosomal RNA is filed under the name Kudoa hexapunctata. RNAcentral's name for it is "eukaryotic LSU rRNA". It matches the Rfam family "Eukaryotic large subunit ribosomal RNA", at positions 34 to 2197 of the family's 3401-position model. The record is from RNAcentral. Lineage: Eukaryota; Metazoa; Cnidaria; Myxozoa; Multivalvulida; Kudoidae.